UGGGGAAUAUUGCACAAUGGAGGGAACUCUGAUGCAGCGACGCCGCGUGAACGAAGAAGGCUUACGAGUCGUAAAGUUCUUUUAUAUGGGAAGAUAAUGACGGUACCAUAAGAAAAAGCCCCGGCUAACUACGUGCCAGCAGCCGCGGUAAUACGUAGGGGGCUAGCGUUGUCCGGAAUCACUGGGCGUAAAGGGUUCGCAGGCGGAAAUGCAAGUCAGGUGUAAAAGGCAGUAGCUUAACUACUGUAAGCAUUUGAAACUGCAUAUCUUGAGAAGAGUAGAGGUAAGUGGAAUUUUUAGUGUAGCGGUGAAAUGCGUAGAUAUUAAAAAGAAUACCGGUGGCGAAGGCGACUUACUGGGCUCAUUCUGACGCUGAGGAACGAAAGCGUGGGUAGCAAACAGG
Molecule: ribosomal RNA, 403 nt
Filed under: Fusobacteriota bacterium
Lineage: Bacteria; Fusobacteriati; Fusobacteriota
Description: Fusobacteria bacterium partial 16S ribosomal RNA
Rfam family: Bacterial small subunit ribosomal RNA
Source: RNAcentral